GACUCUUUACUCGAAUCUCCCAUGCUCCGUCCUUUCUUUUCCGAGCCUUCUCUCUCUCUCUCUCUAUCUCUCUCCGACGCGGAAUCUGCUGGUGUUCUCGAUCUCGGUCAUUGCGUUCUCGAGUGAGGAUAGCUGCGCCUCGCGCGAGGCUCUUCGACGGUUGGCCUCGUUCUGUGCCUCGGCGGCGGCGGUGGCGGCGGCUCGAGAUCGAAGAGGCUCUACCUGAAGCGGCCAAGCUGGGAAUUUUGUGCAUGGGGAGUAGUGAUACUUGUUGUUCCUGUUGUUGUUCUUCAUUGUGUGGAUUGGUUAUAGGGUGAAGGCUCAACCUAUAACCAUCAAUAAUUACUCUCCUAAUCCUUCUCAGUUGCGGCUCAACCUCAUCAUCAUCAAUAAUUACUCUCCUAAUCUUUCUCAGUUGCGGCUCAACCUCACACACCCAGUUCCAGCCCUUACUUUAACUUUUGAUUCACGAUUUUGCUCUCCAUUUUUUAGCUCGCUUUUUCAGGUAUAAAAAGGGUCCAAAAAGGUCUCACAAGGACCCUCAUCUCUCCCUUUUAUAGCUCACGGCCGGCCCUCAUUUUCUGGUCCAAUUUUUCAGUCC
This 601-nucleotide long non-coding RNA is filed under the name Eucalyptus grandis. Its description in RNAcentral is "long non-coding RNA (EGRA_LNC004530)". The record is from RNAcentral. Lineage: Eukaryota; Viridiplantae; Streptophyta; Magnoliopsida; Myrtales; Myrtaceae.